AGUGAACGCUGGCGGUAGGCCUAACACAUGCAAGUCGAACGGCAGCACAGUAAGAGCUUGCUCUUACGGGUGGCGAGUGGCGGACGGGUGAGGAAUACAUCGGAAUCUACUUUUUCGUGGGGGAUAACGUAGGGAAACUUACGCUAAUACCGCAUACGACCUACGGGUGAAAGCAGGGGAUCUUCGGACCUUGCGCGAUUGAAUGAGCCGAUGUCGGAUUAGCUAGUUGGCGGGGUAAAGGCCCACCAAGGCGACGAUCCGUAGCUGGUCUGAGAGGAUGAUCAGCCACACUGGAACUGAGACACGGUCCAGAAUCCUACGGGAGGCAGCAGUGGGGAAUAUUGGACAAUGGGCGCAAGCCUGAUCCAGACAUACCGCGUGGGUGAAGAAGGCCUUCGGGUUGUAAAGCCCUUUUGUUGGGAAAGAAAAGCAGCAGGUUAAUACCCCGCUGUUCUGACGGUACCCAAAGAAUAAGCACCGGCUAACUUCGUG
This 492-nucleotide ribosomal RNA is filed under the name uncultured bacterium. RNAcentral's name for it is "partial 16S ribosomal RNA". It matches the Rfam family "Bacterial small subunit ribosomal RNA", at positions 29 to 507 of the family's 1533-position model. The record is from RNAcentral.